AUAUGGUAUUUUAGCUAAAAAAAUCUUAAGUUUAUCAUUUCAGAUUUUUGAAUUAUAGUUGGCUAAAGCAUGAAUGUAUUUCAACCAAAAGGGUGUCUACAACUCUACUAUUAAAGGGGAUCUGCAGUCGUGAUGGUUCGACCUCGAGCGAUCCCGUCUUACCGCUAGCGCUAGCCUUUUUAGUUUUUUCGAUCCCUCCAUAAACCAGCCAAUAAACCAGUUGAUUAGUUUAAAAAAUACCUACAUCACACCUGGAACCACGACCCUUCGGUCGACUUUCUCCUCCCCCUAAAGAAAAACGGCAAGAGUGAAAUUUUUUAAAAAGAAGCACCCACGAACCCACAAUCCAAUCAGGCAAUCACCCCCGACCCCGUCGCCCCCGUUCUCUCCCGAGAAGACGACGCCCCGCCCACCCUGACCCCCUUGCCGUCGGCAAACCCAGCCCCGCCGAAACUCACGACACGCCGCCUACCCCGACCCCCUCGCCGCCGGCCAUCCCAGCACCAAUCCAGUGCCGCGCGGAGAUCACCGAAUCCAGGCGUCGCAUCGGCGCUGUUUUUUUCGCGGUUUGNN
Molecule: long non-coding RNA, 573 nt
Filed under: Hordeum vulgare
Lineage: Eukaryota; Viridiplantae; Streptophyta; Magnoliopsida; Poales; Poaceae
Description: long non-coding RNA (HVUL_LNC006698)
Source: RNAcentral